CCUACGGGUGGCUGCAGUCGAGAAUCAUUCACAAUGGGGGAAACCCUGAUGGUGCGACGCCGCGUGGGGGAAUGAAGGUCUUCGGAUUGUAAACCCCUGUCAUGUGGGAGCAAAUUAAAAAGAUAGUACCACAAGAGGAAGAGACGGCUAACUCUGUGCCAGCAGCCGCGGUAAUACGGAGGAUGCGAGCGUUAUCCGGAUUUAUUGGGUUUAAAGGGUGCGUAGGCGGAUUUUUAAGUCAGCGGUAAAAUGUCCGGGCUCAACCCGGGCCGGCCGUUGAAACUGGGGAUCUUGAGUGGGCGAGAAGUAUGCGGAAUGCGUGGUGUAGCAGUGAAAUGCGUAGAUAUCGAGAGGAACACUCGUGGCGAAGGCGGGUUCCUGGACAUUAACUGACGCUGAGGCACGAAGGCCAGGGGAGCGAAAGGGAUUAGAUACCCGGGUAGUC
This 445-nucleotide ribosomal RNA is filed under the name uncultured bacterium. Its description in RNAcentral is "partial 16S ribosomal RNA". It matches the Rfam family "Bacterial small subunit ribosomal RNA", at positions 338 to 795 of the family's 1533-position model. The record is from RNAcentral.